This is a non-coding RNA of Notechis scutatus (mainland tiger snake), 106 nucleotides long. NCBI's taxonomy places the organism in Eukaryota, Metazoa, Chordata, Lepidosauria, Squamata, Elapidae. The record is from RefSeq and is a predicted model, not a curated record.
UAGCAUUUAUGGUUGUGGCCAAAAAGCUCAAUUUUGGUUUCAUCACUCCAAAUGACUUUGUGCCAGAAGGUUUGAGGCUUGUCUCUGUGCUGAUUGCUAUAUUUUU